ACCACUUGAUGCUUGAACAUGAAUGCCAUCGGUGUUUGGGCUGUCACCGGCGGCCGAAACUUUGACCCCCUGUACUUUCACAUCGUUGCAUCCAUUGAUGACAAUAUGAAACAUCUGGCUAUCUACGGAUGCUAAUCCGUUAAUCACAACGUUGUCUGAGUUGCUAAAGCGAAGUGUCUGCUCAUGUAUAUACAAAAGAAGGAACAUUAAUUAUUAUAACUAAAGCAGGAAGCCAAUCAAUAUGAAAAGCAAAAAGCCACUAAAUUUACGACUAUACAGAUAUAUAUAGGAUAUUUCAACUUAAUUACCGUAGCGCCACUGGGGCAAUUACUAUUGUCCGACUUUUUACAAGCCCACAAGCCAGCACCUUGGCCAUCAAGAACGCCACCAUUAAUAGAAACCCCACUAACAUGCUCAAAUAAAAUCCAGUUUUCGGCAUUUCCGAUAACAUGAUAAUCAGCUGGAGCCACCAGAGUCCCGUCAAUACGUAUGGUAAUAUCAUUGUUCUUGCAUUGGCCUUGAAACACAACAUUGCUUAGUAAGUACCUCCCCGGUGGCACGUAAAUGGUUGCGGCCUCGGCCGAGCCACAGGCUUGAGCCCAUGCAGCAAGAAAGGAUUUUACUGAGUCAGUCUGGCCAUCGGGUCUGGCUCCGAAGCUCAGCACAUUGUAACUCAAAGGAAUUGCUAAAGAUGAACUAAAGAAGAGAAUCAAAAGAAAUGGUAAAAAAUUAAUAGACAAAGACAUUGAUGUUGACAUUGUUUCAAAGCUUAAAUUUACUGAUAGAAAUGAGAGAAAUAGAUUUGAGACGUUGAGGAGUUGGGAGGAAGUUGAGAAGGUUUAAAUGGGUAUUUAUAGGAUUUGAAUGGACUGUAGAAAUGGCAAUAGCACUAACAGUGAAUGCAAUCUGCGCCGAAUUUUGGGAGUGAUUUUGGCCUUAACAAAUGCGAUCUUAGUUUACCAAAAUACCCUUUAACUUAAAUUUGGACGACGUUUGAUGACGGACGCGACAAAUACAUACAUAAGACGAGGACACGUCCACAUAUGGUUUUGUAAGAUGAGAGAUUUCAAAGGUAGUUAAUAAAUUAACAGAAAAAGGUGCUUCUCCAUUUUCUGCUUUUCUGGUGGUGUGUAAAAUUAUGCCCGUAUGUUUGCUUUGAGCACAAGGUCGUUGCCUCCUCAAUUCCCGUGGAGCGAUAUGUUUAUUUCUCUGAACUAUUUCUCCUUGUUGCUUGAAAUUACAGCAAAAUAAAGCUAUUUAGAAACUAUUCAACUAAAUUUUUAGGAUAACUUAUAAAUAAUAUUAUAUCAAUUAAUAUUGAGUAGACACAAGAUAAUUUUGUCAAAUGCGACAACUAUUAAAAGGCAUGUAAACUCCAUGCAGAUUGUUCAUUUGUUGGUUAAUUUAUUUUUCCAUUUUUCCCUUUUGGCUUUCAAGUCAAUUAUAAGGAUAAGCAUCAAUAUAUAUUCCCUGAUUUAAGUGUAACUUAUUUUUUUAUUUUAAUAAGAUUGCUCUUGUUAUUUCAAGGUAUUCCAAAAUUUAUUUAAUUAAUUAAAAAGAAUUUCGAAUACGCUAAAUCAGCUGCAAAUGAAAGCGAUCUACCCGAAAAUAAGGUUUGCCUUGUUUUACGACUUCCUUGUUCUAGGAAAUUAUUGUGUUUCAUGUGACAUUAAUUUGUUGACCUUACUUUCUUUUAGAGAAUAAAUUAGGCAAAUAAUAAAUAUUAUUCAAAGUUCAACUCUAGUUUUAUAAAGAAGAUGAAUCCAGAGGCACAAUUCCAUCAAAAUCAACUAUUGAUUUUAAGGGAAACAAUGAAGAAACCCAUGUGAAAAAAGAAAAUUUCAAUAAAAGUUGAUAAAAUGUGUUUGAAUAAUGGUUGUGUAACAAGCUACAUCGCUGUUGGACAUUUUGUUAUACUAAAAUGGAAAAUAUCCUAAUGUUUCAAAGAAAACAAAUUGCAAAGAGUUCAUUAUUCACAGUAUGUUUCUCUACCUAGAUGUAAUUAUUUUUUAAUUACAUAUUUAUACUUUUUUCCCAUUUUUUCAGAUUAUUCAAGUGGGAAGCAGUGUGACCCCAUCGCGGGCAUUUUUGUUAAUGAUAUAAUUUUCUUUUUAUUUCUUAUAACUAGCCGCAAUUUUCCUAGUUUCGGAAUGGAUGUUUGACUUGUUUCAUCACUCGGAUUAAGCAAACAAUCAAGCCGCAUUACUAGGUUAUCAAGAAAGCACAGUUACCAGUCAGGUCCCUCUUCAUGCCAAAUUCAGCACGGCCGAAAGGAUCUCACGUCAAAGACAAAAUUUAGCAGAGGUUAAUUAAUCGAUUACAAGUUCACCACAUGGGGAUUUCUUCUUCAACUACCCAACUGAAUAACGAUUGACUGUUGACCAAGGAAUUAUCUAUACGUUACUAGUUGAUUGAGGAAUUUACUUUCACACAGUACCCUUUCAUGUUUUAGCUAGCCCACCGGUAACUUCUAUUAAUGGUAUCACCACAAAUUUUGUUGUAUAACUAAUUAAACAUGUAUGUGAGCUAGACUGCCAAAUUGUUUAUUUAUUUUUUAAAAACGAUUGUCCGCCCACCCUCCAAAAAAAAGAAGCAAAAUACAAUAAAAGAAGAUUAGAUAAUCGGAGGCGUAGUGAACCCCAAAAGAUGGUUAGCAUAGAACUCACUAAUUAAUAAAGUAAUAAAUGGGAUAAAAAAUGAUCGACUAAUAGGCUAUAUAUCUCUGUGUGUGUGUGUGUAUCUAGUCUAUAAUUUUAAAGUGCGGGAAAGUCUGAAAAAGUUUUAAAACCAUGCAGUUUUAAAACUUUCCCGUACUUUCCACACUUUAAAACCCUGGAUUAGAAUAUAUAUAUAUAUAUAUACACAUACAUACAUACAUUUAUUAAAAAUGUUCUAAUCCGGAAUUUUAAAGUGCAGGAAAGUUCAUAAAAGCUUUAAAACCGCAUGGUUUUAAAGCUUUCCCAAACUUUUCCGUACUUUAAAAUUCUGGACCAGAAAACUACUUUAUAUAUAGAACCUCCAAAUAGGAAUACUCUAUAUAGGAAUAACCUCAUAGUAAUAAAAAAUCGUGAUCCCAAUUUGGGACCAGUUAUAAUAGGAAUAAACUCCACAUUGUAAUAAGUUAAUUUUUUGUAUGUCCCGUCUUAAUAAACUUACUUCCACAUAGUAAUAAUAUUUCAAAAAUAUAUUCCAUGUUACAUUAAAUAAUUAAGAUGGAACAAAAUAUCUUUCUAAAGUUACUUGUGACAAUGAUUUGUUCUUUAAAGUUGCAACCACAUCUUUUAACUUGCAGGAAUGUAUUAAUUGGUCAGCAUAGGCACUUAAUAAUUGGUCAACAAAAUAAUUAAUUUAUUAAUGUCUAUACAUUGAAUUUGAAUCACUUAUUAAUUUAUUAAUACAUGACAUAAUUUACCUUAUAUCACUUGCAUUAGGGAUAAUUAAGCAAAGACAAUAAUUUUGUACCAUACCUCUAUUAAGUUAUAACCUCUUUAUAAGAAUAAAUUUUUCCAGUCCCAAUAAUAUGACUAUAUAGAGGUUUUACUCUAUAUAUAUAUGCCACCUUGUAGUAUCGUAUCCCAUGUUUUAUAUAUAAACUUUUUCUUAAAAUAAUUAGAAAGGGAAUGAGAAAUCUCACUCAUUAAAUUAAAUGCUAAUCAAUAAGCAUCAUCAUUACUUGAACUCGACUAAUCAGAGGUGCAAGCAUUUAAAGUCAGUCAAGCUACCCCAAAAGGGAGCUUUACAUUUUUUGUUUCACAUAAUAAUCAAAGAUGUAACGGUAAUGGUCCUUUCGAAAUAUCUAAUUUAAUUUUGAUAAAUUUAAUUGGUUGAAUUUGUUCAGUGUUGAAAAUUUGUUUAAUUUUUUAAUACACAAAAUAAUAUCCUAUCGAAAAUUUAAUUAAGGUAUAUAUAGGUAAUCUUCAGAGUUCAACAAAUCACAUCUAUUUUUAAAUUAAAAAAGAGAGAGAAAGAGAAAAAAAUAAACUGAAAAAAGGAUAAGAUGUUGAAGGGGGAGAUAGUAGAUGUAUUUUGAAGUAUUGAGAAUGUUGAGAAUAUGUUUCGAAGUGUUUGUGUUGAGAAUACAUUUAGUAGAUGUAUUUUGAAUUAUUGAGAAUGUUCAGAAUAUGUUUUAUGUGUUUGUGUCGAGAAUACAUGGAUGUAGACGCACACACGCAAGGGGAAUUUUAAAAUUUGAAAUCAAAUUAAUGAAUAUGAUUUGAAGUGUUUGUGUUGAGAAUACAUUUUGGAUACAACGCACACACACAAGGGGAGUUUUAAAUUUUGAAAUUUGUUAAUCCAUUUGAUUUCUAACACAUGCAUACAUUCAGGGAAGUUCUUAUAAAAGUUCAAAAUACAUAACGUGUUUUGUCAUUAUCAAAAAGGGGGAGAUUGUUAACCUCUAUGGUUAUAUAGCAUUUUGAUUUUGAUAAUAACAAACCACGAGUCAUGGGUAAAAUAGGAAAUACACAUAUUCUUUAUUUUGUUUUAAAACAAAAAAAAAUGAAUGUUGAGUAUUUUAAGAUGUCCUUAAAAUUGUUUUCUUUGUAUUUUCUAAAGGAAAAAUUUUAUUAUGUGAAUAUUAUUUCAAAUUCUAAGUAUAAAGCGCGUUUUUGCAUAAGUUUUUCAGAUAAAACUUUUAUUAUGUGCUUAAACGUUAAAUCUUUAUAAUCUAAAUGGUAAGCUCACUAAAGUAAAACUAGCUGCUAGACACAAAUGGCAUACCGUUACAAGGAAAGCGGCAAACCGAUUGCAUCAAAUUAGCUCUCUAGAAUCAAACGGUAAACUGGUAGAGCUGAAGCAGCAAACCGAUUGCAUCAAAUUAGCUCUUUGGAAUCAAACAAUAAACCAAUAGAGUUGAAGCAGCAAACUGAUUGCAUCAAAUUAGCUCUCUUGAAUCAAAUGGUAAACCGAUGAAGCUGAAGUGACAAACUGAUUCCAUGAAGAUGACUUACUAGACUCAAAGAACAAACUGUUAUCUGCAAGCGGCCAACCAAUUCCAUCAAGAUGACUUACUAGACUCAGACAACAAACUAUUAUCUGCAACCGGCAAACCAAAUCCAUCAAGAUGACUAUCUGAAAUCAAGUGGCAAACUACUUUCUUGGAGCAGAAAAUCGUGAAGCAAAAAUUUCAAAUUACAACCAUAAGGAUAAGUGCCAUAUAAGCAAACUAUAGACUGUUUUCUUGAAAGGGCAAAUCGAUUAUGCCUAGAAAGUCAACAACAGCUAAUUUUAUCUAUCGUUCAAUCUAUAAAUAGCCAAGAGAAACACUUUUGAAAUAGGAAUUUUUUGGCCAUUUUUUAAAGAGUAUUGAGCUUUUACUUGCUUAUCCACAUUCAUUGAAUUUAUAAUUGAGCUAUCAUUUGUAACAUACACUUGCGAGAGUGCAUUCUUUGUAAUUUCCAUUUCACUAUCAAAAUUGAGUGAUUGUAAGUGUGGGGAAACACUUGGUCAAGGAGGUGUGGGAUCAUCUCAAGUUGUAAAUGUUUAUUGACACCCUAAAAGUCAAUUGCAAACUUCCUGAAGCCUUGGAUUGUAAUGCUUGAAUAGUGGAACAAUCAAGUUCGGUUUGCUUGGAGGCAUGGUUAUAAGCGGGUUUUGCCGAACCACGUAAAAAUUUCGUGUUUGCUUUCUUCUCCCAUAUCUCUUUAAACUUAUUCAUUGUUAUAUUUACUGUUAUUGAAUCUCUCAAGGCAUUAGUUUAAAUUAUUUUUUAAUUUUUAAAAACCCAAUUCACCCCUCUCUUGGGUUACUUAGCUAGAAUUUCAGCAUAGCUUGUCAUGCGUUCACAUACCGUACAAUGAGUUACGAGGUCCAAUUCCUACCAACACAAGAUUCUGAAAUACAAGUGUGCAACCCAAGAGGGGGGGUGAAUUGGAAUUUUAAAAUUUAUCCUAACAAAUCCACACAACAAGCAAUCUAAUGUCUUAAUAAAAAUUGAAAGCAAUAAGUUCAAUAAAGGCACAAUAAUUAAAAGAGUAAGGGAAGAGAAAAACGAACACAAUGAUUUUUACGUGGUUCGGCUAUCCCCGCCUACGUCCACGCCUCCAAGCACACCGGGCUUGAGGAUUUCACUAUCCAAGCCUUUCCAAGGCUUCAACGAUUACAAUUGACUUCGAGGUGUCAAUAAACCUUUACAACAAAGAGAUUAUCUCCCAAUCUCUUCACUCAAGUGUCUCACACACUCAAACUCUUACAAAUGAAAUGAAGAAAUGAAAGUUACAAUCAAACUCACUCAAUGAGUAGAUAUUCAAAGAUGAAGAACAAUGAAUGAUUCAAUGUUUUGUCUUUUGCAAGUUGUAAGCUCAAGAUAUCAUGUGUGCCUUUUGUUUUUGCUUGUUGGAGAGCUUCAAAAUGAGUUGGAUUUGAGUUUUUAUAGCUUGAGCUCAAAAACUAGCCGUUACUCACAUUCCAGGCGUAUCCGGUUUGCCGUUUAUGGAAUCUGGUAAGCCGGAUUUAUGUUACCGUUAAGGCAAAAUUCAAAAUUUUGCCUAACCGGUUUGCCGGAUUCGUUCUGGUGCUUACUGCCCCGAAUUCGGCCUGCCGUUUAUCAGUAUCCGGAAAGCCGCUUGCUACAGUAACUGCUACAGUAAAACAUUUCCCGAAAUUUACAGUUUGACCCCAAAACUUUAUAAAACUGUAGUAUAACCCAAAAAGUUAUAAAAGUUUGCACAUAGGUCCAAUUUCAGAAUUUUAAAUAAUGCUUUCUCAAUCCCACAACUUUCUGAAAUUAUGACUUCGCCCAAACUUUAUGAAAUUAUAUAAUGGCCCAAAAACAUUUAAAUAGUUUCAAAUAGGUCCAAAUCCGAAAUUUCAAGCACUACUUGUUUAUUUCAAAGUUUUCAAAAUUCUUUCAAUUAAACCAUAAACUUUGAAAAACAACCAAUUUCAUAAAAUCAUUUUUUUCAUUAAAUAUGAAACAUUUAUAAAGUGAAAAUAAUGAUUUAUUCAAAAGGAAUAAAAACAAUCAAUUGCAUAAAAUCAUUUUUCCAUUAAAAUAUAAAACAUUUAUAAUGUGAAAAAAAAUGAUUUAUUUAAAAUAUAUUUUUCAAUAAUUUGAGCUUAAAAGAUUAAUUAUUCUUAAUCUUGUUUGUUAUCAUCAAAAUCAACAUUAUGGAAACAUAUAUGUUAACAGAUUCCAGUAUGAUCAUGGAGGCAUUAUGAGGGAACAAGGAUUGUGAGGUGACGCUUACAGUUUUCAACCUUGCAAAGCCUUUGUAACUCACAAACAUGUCUUCAACAAGAAAUGGCUUUUAAUAAUGUUCCCUAUGUUAGGAAUACUCGCUCUUUUAUUCUUUGUGAUUGGAAUGAUUUUUAGAAGAAUGAAGAGGGCUUCUAGAGAAAACAAAGAAUGUUCUGUGGGCGAUCAAGGAGUGCUUUCGAUAUUAAUUUUUAAAACGUAAGUGGCGUAUUAAAAAAUCAUCAGUGCAGCGAAUAAAUUUGAUGCUGAGCAAUGCAUUUGGCAACCUAUCAUCUGGGAGAUCGUAGCGAUUGGCAAAUUUCAUCACCACUUCCAAGUGAAAUUUUAGUCCUACAAGAAUUCCCGAAUGAAAGCAAGGCACUGCCAGAAUUAUGGUAUCAAAAUAUUGUGAAAUUUUAUAGCUUCUGUUAACAUCCUGGUACUCUUUUUCAGUCUAUGAAUAUCUUGAAAAGGGUAGUUUGGCUACAAUUCCAAGCAAUGAUGCAACAAUAGAAGAAUUCAUGAGCUGGACUCUGGGAAUGUAUAUGAUAUAACUGUAGCUAAGGCCAUGAGUUAUAUGCAUCAUGAUUGCUUCCCACCAAUUGACAAUCGAGACUUAUCAAGCAAGAAUGUGUUGCUGGGUUUAGAUUAUGAAGCUCAUGUUUCAGAUUCCGGAAUCGCAAAAUUUCUCAAGCCAGACUUGUCCUAUUGGACUGAUUUUGCAGGCGCAUUUGGAUAUGUUGCUCCACAUAUGCAUUCUUAAAUUAACCCAUUGAUCACUUUUUACAUUAAUUCAAAGUUCAGCUCUAGUUACAUAUGGAAAAUCUGCUGUACGGCCAAGGCGGAUGUACGGUACAGCAGAAGCAAUGAUGCAACAAUAGAAGAAUUCAUGAGCUGGACUCUGAGAAUGUAUAUGAUAUAAAGUGUAGCUAAGGCCAUGAGUUAUAUGCAUCAUGAUUGCUUCCCACCAAUUGACAAUCGAGACUUAUCAAGCAAGAAUGUGUUGCUGGGUUUAGAUUAUGAAGCUCAUGUUUCAGAUUCCGGAAUCGCAAAAUUUCUCAAGCCAGACUUGUCCUAUUGGACUGAUUUUGCAGGCGCAUUUGGAUAUGUUGCUCCACAUAUGCAUUCUUAAAUUAACCCAUUGAUCACUUUUUACAUUAAUAAACGUCAUAUCUAACUGAUCAUUUUCAUCUUUCAGUUUUUGUAGAGCUUGUUUACACGAUGAAGAUAAUCGAAAAAUGCAACGGGUAUAGCUUUCCGAGAAUUAGCAUUAGAAGUGAUAAAGGGGAAUUAUCCAAGAGAUUUUAUGUCCUUCCAUCGGGGACAUAUCACUGAAUGAAAUUUCGGACACUCGGCUUUCAACAUCAUCAUGAAAUGUUCAGGACACGCUGAUAUUAAUCAUGGAGGUUGUCUUAUUCGAUGUGGGCCCAGAAUCAAGACCCGCGAUGUACACAAUAUGUCAUUUAAAAAAAAAAAAAGAACUCCAGAAAGUCAAAUGUUUCUUUUUUCUUCUGUAUUUUUUUUUCAUUUUUCGUUUUUGUUGGAUUAAAUAUGACUUUUGAAACUUUUGAUGGUUGUAAAAGAUUUUACACUUUAAUUAAGUACGUGAAUUACACAUUUCAAGCAUUAUUUGACUUUACCCCCAAUCUCUGCCGUAAUGUCAUUUGGCUUUUCUGUCCCUUACUUUGGAUAUGCAUAUUCUGUCAAAGGACAAAAAACUGAAAUAGGAAAAUAGAAGUUGUCAUAAAGUAAAUUAAUAUAUUCGAUAACAUUAUGAACAUCUACGCGCGAAAGCGAUGGCGAUACUUUCAACACAUUGCAGGAAGUGCCUCUAAGUAAGCCCAAUGGGCGUAGUUUUACAGAUAACCGAAAAACCUUAGUUCAAAGUAUAAUGAUCGGCUUCCUAUGAUUUUUUUCUGUUUUUAAUGGCUACCUAUCACAAAUUUAGUAACUUCAGCAAAAUUCUACUGCUUAUAUCUUUUUACUUUAAUAUUAUAAUCACGAUCGGCUUCUUAUGCCUUCUUUUUUUUCAACUCAAAAUAUUUUUCACUACUUCAAGUCUUCAAGCAACUAUUUGGAAGAACAAAUCCAGAGGCCGAUCCAUCAGCGUUGGUACAGGAAGCUUCAGCUGGUUGAUUAUUGUAACUGAGCUUCACAUCCUCCAAGCUAAUUCCAGUGCAUGGAUUCUUCGAACUGCAAUCGAGCUUUACUCCAACUUCUGUUGCCGAUGUUCCAUGAAUAUCUUGAUAUAUCACAUCACUGAUUUUAACCCCCGAAGCCUAUUGAACAAGAAAAAAAAAACAUUUAUUGAGUUGAAUAUUAAUCGCAUCAAUAUUUACGUAAUCACAUCUACAGACAUGUGAUAAGUGAGUAUCGUACCUGUCCAGGACAAUUCUCGUUGUCAGGGCAGUAAUUUUGAUCAAUUAUGAUUGGAUUAUCGACAUUGUUCAUAAGAGCAUGUUGGAAAAGAAUGUUCCUGGCAAAUCCAGUACGGCCAAGGCGGAUGUACGGUACAGCAGUGCACUCCAGCCUCUUGUUGCUCUUUGCCUAAGCUGCCAAUGCUGCAACACAAUCACAAUAUUCAAUUUAAUUAGCACUAAAUAUUUUUACGUACCACCAAAAAUAAAGAGAAAAACAAAUUAUCAUGUUUUUUAAUUUUACCUGAUCCCAUGGCCUGGGCCACAAGCAACAUUUUCAAUCCAUAAGUUGGUGGCGCCAGGCCCAACUGAUACACAGUCAUCACCAGUCCCAAUUUUGCUGUCCAAAAUUGUGACACCACUUGAUGAUUGAACGUGAAUGCCAUCGGUGUUUGGGCUGUCACCGGCGGCCGAAACUUUGACCCCCUGUACUUUCACAUCGUUGCAUCCAUUGAUGACAAUAUGAAACAUCUGGCUAUCUACGGAUGCUAAUCCGUUAAUCACAACGUUGUCUGAGUUGCUAAAGCGAAGUGUCUGCUCAUGUAUAUACAAAAGAAGGAACAUUAAUUAUUAUAACUAAAGCAGGAAGCCAAUCAAUAUGAAAAGCAAAAAGCCACUAAAUUUACGACUAUACAGAUAUAUAUAGGAUAUUUCAACUUAAUUACCG
RNAcentral lists this long non-coding RNA (10258 nucleotides) under Citrus sinensis (sweet orange). Its description in RNAcentral is "long non-coding RNA (CSIN_LNC004665)". Lineage: Eukaryota; Viridiplantae; Streptophyta; Magnoliopsida; Sapindales; Rutaceae. The record is from RNAcentral.